UACGUAGGGGGCGAGCGUUGUCCGGAAUCACUGGGCGUAAAGGGCGCGUAGGCGGCCUGAGAAGUCGCAGGUGAAAUCCCACGGCUCAACCGUGGAACUGCCUGCGAAACCAUUGGGCGUGAGGACAGGAGAGGGAAGCGGAAGUACUGGUGGAGCGGUGAAAUGCGGAGAUCGCAGGAGGAAAACCAGUGGCGAAGGCGGCGUUCUGGCAUGGUCCUGACGCUGAGGCGCGAAAGCUAGGGGAGCCAACAGGAUUAGAUACCCCCGUAGUCC
Molecule: ribosomal RNA, 273 nt
Filed under: uncultured bacterium
Lineage: Bacteria
Description: partial 16S ribosomal RNA
Rfam family: Bacterial small subunit ribosomal RNA
Source: RNAcentral